This 330-nucleotide ribosomal RNA is filed under the name uncultured bacterium. RNAcentral's name for it is "bacterial SSU rRNA". It matches the Rfam family "Bacterial small subunit ribosomal RNA", at positions 28 to 334 of the family's 1533-position model. The record is from RNAcentral.
GACGAACGCUGGCGGCGUGCUUAACACAUGCAAGCCGAACGGAGAGACAUGGAAGCUUGCUUCUAUGAAUCUUAGUGGCGAACGGGUGAGUAACGCGUAAUCAACCUGCCCUUCAGAGGGGGAUAACAACGGGAAACCGUUGCUAAUACCGCGUACGAUAUGCUUUCGGCAUCGAGAGUAUAUGAAAGGUGGCCUCUAUAUAUAAGCUAUCGCUGAAGGAGGGGAUUGCGUCUGAUUAGCUAGUUGGAGGGGUAACGGCCCACCAAGGCGAUGAUCAGUAGCUGGUCUGAGAGGACGGCCAGCCACACUGGGACUGAGACACGGUACCAA